Molecule: ribosomal RNA, 502 nt
Filed under: uncultured bacterium
Lineage: Bacteria
Description: partial 16S ribosomal RNA
Rfam family: Bacterial small subunit ribosomal RNA
Source: RNAcentral
AUUGAACGCUGGCGGCAUGCCUUACACAUGCAAGUCGAACGGCAGCAUAGGAGCUUGCUCCUGAUGGCGAGUGGCGAACGGGUGAGUAAUAUAUCGGAACGUGCCCUAGAGUGGGGGAUAACUAGUCGAAAGACUAGCUAAUACCGCAUACGAUCUACGAAUGAAAGUGGGGGAUCGCAAGACCUCAUGCUCCUGGAGCGGCCGAUAUCUGAUUAGCUAGUUGGUGGGGUAAAAGCUCACCAAGGCGACGAUCAGUAGCUGGUCUGAGAGGACGACCAGCCACACUGGGACUGAGACACGGCCCAGACUCCUACGGGAGGCAGCAGUGGGGAAGUUUGGACAAUGGGGGCAACCCUGAUCCAGCAAUGCCGCGUGAGAGAAGAAGGCCUUCGGGUUGUAAAGCUCUUUUGUCAGGGAAGAAACGGUUCUGGAUAAUACCUGGAGCUAAUGACGGUACCUGAAGAAUAAGCACCGGCUAACUACGUGCCAGCCGCCGCGGUAA